GCUAAUAAUCUAGCUCUACUACUCCACAUGAGACUAUUCUCCCAGACACAAAUAAACAAAACAUUUACUCAUUUUAGUAAAGGAGAUUGAAAAAUUAAUUGAAGCAAUAAAACUAGUACCGCAAGGGAAAGAUGAAAUAUAAAUGAAAAUCUUUAAAGCAAAAAAUAGUAGAGAUUUACCCUCGUACCUUUUGCAUCAUGGUUCAACUAGUCCAAUCAAGCAAAAAGCAUUACAGUUUGACCCCCCGAAACUUAGGCGAGCUACUUCAGGGCAGCUUUAUGAGCUAACCCGUCUCUGUUGCAAAAGAGUGGGAAGACCCUUAAGUAGCGGCGACAUACCUAACGAGCCUAGUGAUAGCUGGUUACCUGAGAAAAGAAUUUAAGUCCAACCUAAAAUCCACCCUCUUACACUAAAAACCCCCAUGAUUUUAGAGCAAUUCAAAUAAGGUACAGCCUAUUUGAAACAGGAUACAACCUCACCAGACGGGUAAAAUUUAUUAAAUAACCUCAAGUAGGCCUAAAAGCAGCCAUCUUUUUAAAAGCGUCACAGCUUAAUCUUUAUCAACUUCCAAUUCCUCAACCCCAUUUUAACCCUCACUUAGUACCGGGUAGAUCUAUAUUUUUAUAGAAAUUAUUAUGUUGAAACUAGUAACAAGAAGAAUAGACCUUCUCUUAAAUGCAAACAUAAAUCAGAAAGGACAGACCACUGACAAUUAACGCCUAUGACCACCAAUCAGCAACCUCCCAAGAAAAACCUUAUAUUUCCCACGUUAACCUGACACAAGAGCAUUUCAAGAAAGAUUAAAAGAAGGAGAAGGAACUCGGCAAAUAUUAACCCCGCCUGUUUACCAAAAACAUCGCCUCUUGAACAAAAAUAAGAGGUCCAGCCUGCCCAGUGACAAAUGUUCAACGGCCGCGGUAUCCUAACCGUGCGAAGGUAGCGUAAUCACUUGUUCUUUAAAUGAGGACUAGUAUGAAUGGCACCACGAGGGUUAUACUGUCUCCUCCAUCCAAUCAGUGAAACUAAUCUCCCCGUGAAGAAGCGGGGAUAUUACUAUAAGACGAGAAGACCCUAUGGAGCUUUAAACUUCCCUUCAAACGCUAAAUACCUUUUAAUAAGUCACUGACUUUAUUACAUAUACCCAAGCGUCCUGAAGGCGACUUUUAGGUUGGGGUGACCGCGGAGCACAAAACAACCUCCAUGAUGAACAGCUUUUUUUAAGCCUUGAACAAAGGACUACAACCCAAUGUACUAAAAAACUAACACUCAUUGACCCAAUAUAUUUUGACCAACGAACCAAGUUACCCUAGGGAUAACAGCGCAAUCUACUUCAAGAGUCCCUAUCGACAAGUGGGUUUACGACCUCGAUGUUGGAUCAGGGUAUCCCAGUGGUGCAGCCGCUACUAAUGGUUCGUUUGUUCAACGAUUAAAACCCU
RNAcentral lists this ribosomal RNA (1436 nucleotides) under Scinax ictericus. RNAcentral's name for it is "partial 16S large subunit ribosomal RNA". It matches the Rfam family "Bacterial large subunit ribosomal RNA", at positions 23 to 2597 of the family's 2925-position model. The record is from RNAcentral. Lineage: Eukaryota; Metazoa; Chordata; Amphibia; Anura; Hylidae.